UACGGAGGGUGCAAGCGUUAUCCGGAUUCACUGGGUUUAAAGGGUGCGUAGGUGGGCAGGUAAGUCAGUGGUGAAAUCUCCGGGCUUAACCCGGAAACUGCCAUUGAUACUAUCUGUCUUGAAUACCGUGGAGGUGAGCGGAAUAUGUCAUGUAGCGGUGAAAUGCUUAGAUAUGACAUAGAACACCAAUUGCGAAGGCAGCUGGCUACACAAAUAUUGACACUGAUGCACGAAAGCGUGGGGAUCAAACAGG
This 253-nucleotide ribosomal RNA is filed under the name uncultured bacterium. RNAcentral's name for it is "partial 16S ribosomal RNA". It matches the Rfam family "Bacterial small subunit ribosomal RNA", at positions 524 to 776 of the family's 1533-position model. The record is from RNAcentral.